UGCCAGACUCCUACGGGAGGCAGCAGUGGGGAAUAUUGCACAAUGGGGGAAACCCUGAUGCAGCGACGCCGCGUGAGCGAUGAAGUAUUUCGGUAUGUAAAGCUCUAUCAGCAGGGAAGAAGAUGACGGUACCUGACUAAGAAGCCCCGGCUAACUACGUGCCAGCAGCCGCGGUAAUACGUAGGGGGCAAGCGUUAUCCGGAUUUACUGGGUGUAAAGGGAGCGUAGACGGCGAUGCAAGCCAGAUGUGAAAGCCCGGGGCUCAACCCCGGGACUGCAUUUGGAACUGUGUGGCUGGAGUGUCGGAGAGGCAGGCGGAAUUCCUAGUGUAGCGGUGAAAUGCGUAGAUAUUAGGAGGAACACCAGUGGCGAAGGCGGCCUGCUGGACGAUGACUGACGUUGAGGCUCGAAAGCGUGGGGAGCAAACAGGAUUAGAUACCCGAGUAAU
This 448-nucleotide ribosomal RNA is filed under the name uncultured bacterium. Its description in RNAcentral is "bacterial SSU rRNA". It matches the Rfam family "Bacterial small subunit ribosomal RNA", at positions 329 to 794 of the family's 1533-position model. The record is from RNAcentral.